This is a long non-coding RNA of Patella vulgata (common limpet), 650 nucleotides long. RefSeq lists it as uncharacterized. The transcript has 3 exons. The record is from RefSeq and is a predicted model, not a curated record. Lineage: Eukaryota; Metazoa; Mollusca; Gastropoda; Patellidae.
AUAUGCUGUAUAUAAUAAAGCAAGAUCAGUAUUAAUACAUUGUAGAAGUGGACGUAAAGCUCCGGGACCAGGAACGAACCAAGCAAGAUCAGCAUCAAUACUGUAUAUAUAGAGAACAAAUCAUACAGACUACAGACAAGAUUAAUCUGUAUUAAUAAAAGUAUGAAGUUGUUAAUUGUAGUAUGUGCUCUAGUAGCAGUAACAUUGGUUGGUAGAUCAGAAGGAUUCACCUGUUCUCCAUGCACGGACACAGAGAGAAGUCGGUGUCGUCCUGUACCCGCAACUGAUGACUGUGAACAAGUUCUAGACUACUGUAGAUGUUGUACCAAAUGCGCUAUUAAAGAAAACCGGAGUUGUGGCGAUUAUAGUCAAAGAUGUGAAACUGGUUUGACCUGCGUGAAACCAUCGGGACCAAGACGAUUUCCAACAGUACGAUAUCCAGAUGGUUUUACAACACCACCACCACCACCGACAGAAUCAUAUAACGCUUGGUGGCAGAGAACUCGUUUCAUGAACAUCGGAACCUGUACCAGAUCCUAAUCGUAAAGACUCGGAUAGAAGAACAAAGAAAUAAAAAAAUUAAGUGUAUACUGUAUCUCUAGGAUACGCAUGUAAAAUAGAUAAACUAAAUAAAUUAAAUUCUAUUGUUC